Molecule: ribosomal RNA, 253 nt
Filed under: uncultured bacterium
Lineage: Bacteria
Description: partial 16S ribosomal RNA
Rfam family: Bacterial small subunit ribosomal RNA
Source: RNAcentral
UACGAAGGGGGCCAGCGUUGCUCGGAAUCACUGGGCGUAAAGGGUGCGUAGGCGGGUCUUUAAGUCAGGGGUGAAAUCCUGGAGCUCAACUCCAGAACUGCCUUUGAUACUGAAGAUCUUGAGUGCGGGAGAGGUGAGUGGAACUGCGAGUGUAGAGGUGAAAUUCGUAGAUAUUCGCAAGAACACCAGUGGCGAAGGCGGCUCGCUGGCCCGAUACUGACGCUGAGGCACGAAAGCGUGGGGAGCAAACAGG